UGGGGAAUAUUGCGCAAUGGGCGAAAGCCUGACGCAGCGACGCCGCGUGAGGGAUGAAGGUUUUCGGAUCGUAAACCUCUGUCAGAAGGGAAGAAACCGCACUGUGCUAAUCAGAAGUGCCUUGACGGUACCUUCAAAGGAAGCACCGGCUAACUCCGUGCCAGCAGCCGCGGUAAUACGGAGGGUGCAAGCGUUAAUCGGAAUUACUGGGCGUAAAGCGCACGUAGGCUGCUUUGUAAGUCAGGGGUGAAAUCCCACGGCUCAACCGUGGAACUGCCUUUGAUACUGCUUAGCUUGAAUCCGGGAGAGGGUGGCGGAAUUCCAGGUGUAGGAGUGAAAUCCGUAGAUAUCUGGAGGAACAUCAGUGGCGAAGGCGGCCACCUGGACCGGUAUUGACGCUGAGGUGCGAAAGCGUGGGGAGCAAACAGG
This 429-nucleotide ribosomal RNA is filed under the name Fusobacteriota bacterium. RNAcentral describes it as "Fusobacteria bacterium partial 16S ribosomal RNA". It matches the Rfam family "Bacterial small subunit ribosomal RNA", at positions 355 to 776 of the family's 1533-position model. Lineage: Bacteria; Fusobacteriati; Fusobacteriota. The record is from RNAcentral.